RNAcentral lists this non-coding RNA (26 nucleotides) under Mus musculus (house mouse). Lineage: Eukaryota; Metazoa; Chordata; Mammalia; Rodentia; Muridae. The record is from RNAcentral.
UGCAGCUAUAGAUGACACUAAAUCAU